Cyanistes caeruleus (blue tit) is the source of this 2457-nucleotide non-coding RNA. NCBI's taxonomy places the organism in Eukaryota, Metazoa, Chordata, Aves, Passeriformes, Paridae. The record is from RefSeq and is a predicted model, not a curated record.
UUGAUUUUUCCCAGGAGCACAGAAAGUUUUCAGGUACCUGACUCUGCGUCUAUCCCCAUUGUUUCCUUUUGGGAACUGAAUGAGUGGUGGAUGCAUCAGAUUUACUUGUCUCACCAACUGUGCUGUAAUUUAUGCUGAAAAUUUAGGAAAAUAGGUAACAACGUUGUUAGUUCAGAGAUAUCCUGACUGUAUCGAAUGUACCAUUGCUUUGCUCUAACAGAUUUCAACACCAUUUUCUGAAUCCAUGUGAGACACGGCUCAUUCCUCUUCUCUAGGUUUUUCUGCAAUUUCCUGUACCUACAAGAUCCUGCAGUGGUGUCAGAGUUGUGCCUGCUGCAGCUCUCUGACAGACACACCAGCAGUCUAGCACUCCUUGCCCAAACAGGCCAAGCAGACAUCACUAAAUGACCACAGGCUGGAAAGUUUCUUGAAGUCCUGAGCCUCACAACAGGCAACCUGCAGAAAGGAGCCCUGCAAUGAGGAGCUUGCAGAAAUCAUCUGGGUUCUAGCUGUAUCAUAUCUUGGGCUCAGUUGGCCCAGCACCAUGUGAGUUUCACCUGUAGAAGACCUUGCUAAAUUUGCUGUUGCUCUCCUUUUGGGACAUAGGAUAAUUUGGCAAUUUUUCUGAAGGAGGGAGGUGUAGAUCUAAUUUUAGAGACUGUGGAGCACUUUGUCACUGAUGUGUCUUUGCUAAGACACAGCCACCUAUGUAACACUGUGACAACUCCAUGCACUGCUAAAGCUUACCAAGAUUAAACUUUCUUUAAUUUUUCUCCUCAUUACUAGCACAACCCCCAUAAUUAUCAUCACUUUGUAGCACUGGUGUUCUUUUUUACAGUGUUCUCCUGAGCACAAUACCACCAGGUAUCAUAGGUACAAUUCUUUCUUUUAUCAAUUACAAAUAUUUGACAAAGUCUGAUUUUAUGGUACUUUAAUUAGCACUCUUACCAUAUUGAAGAUGUUUCCUGACUGGACUAUGCAGAGACAUGGUCAGGAGCAAAAAUCUUGUGAGCAAAAAUCCUGUAUGCUUAGACAUGCUUAAACUUGUAGCACUACAAUGAUUGAUCCUUGAAUGGUCCUAUGUGAGGUGCAAUGGCAACUAAAAAGAGGUUUGGUAUGUAUCAUCCUAUGUUUGCCUGAUCUGUUUUCAAGGAAAACCUAUUUGAAAGACAUGGAAUAAAACAUCAUUAAAUGUUCCUAGAUGUUUUCCAGUGUUUCAACCAAAGAUGUUACCUGGGCAGUGGAAUUCUGUGGAGAAAUUGCUGGCUGCUGAUGUACCUGAUGUAUCUUGGUCCACGGGAGUGACUUUUGUACUCUAUGCACUCUGAUUUUACUCAGGAGCAACUUUUGAACUCUACAUGUGCUGAUUAUUCCUUCAUACUGGUAUUCUCUGAAGACUUUUCAGGUGGCUGCAUGGACAUUGUUGGAGGACAUGAAGUGCAUCCUCACUCCUGAGCUUAUAUGGCUGCCAUCCAGCACAAGAAUUUAGGUGUUAUUUUGUGGAGGAACUAUUGUGAAAAAAUUGGUUUUGAGAGCAGCACAUUGUGAAAUAGAUGGAUUGGAAGACAGAGUUGUUCCUGGAACUUAUUGGGCAUCCAUUGUUGAAAAAAGACAGCAGAUAUUUGGGAUUAUGGAAACCUUUCCUCAUUGUCAAUGUGAUUGUCCUCCCUUUAUAAUGACAAAAUGCUCAUCAAGAUGUUGAACCUGGCACACUCUACCAGGUGGCAGGCUGGGGACACACACCACCAGAAAAGCCAACAAAAUAUCUCCAGAAGGCAACCCUUAAAAUUGUCAGUAGAAAAAGCUGUGACAAACAUUGUGCCAAUGACCCUAAAAUAACCAACAGCGUGUUGUGUGCUACAGGGAAUAGUAAAUUAUACCCAAGCGAUGCUUGUGAGGGAGAUUCAGGUGGGCCAUAAUCUGUGCUGGUCAGCACCAGGGGUUUGUUUCUUUUGGAGAAGAACAUGAAAAUUCAAGCAUACCUGGAGUUUCUACACAGCUGACUGAAGAAUUUAUUGACAGGAUAAAAAGAACCAUUUCCCAUGACAGAUCCAUGAAAGAGUCAAGAGCAUUUUAACGAAUACUGUGCUGUGCAAUAGAGCUGGGUCCUGCUGCUUUGACACACCUCCUUUGAAAUGUUCCUCCCAGCUUUACAGCUUUGCUGACACCACCACAGCUUUAUGAGAACCGUUCAAAAUAUCCACAUUUAUACAGAUAACACCUUUACUAAUCUUUAGCAGGAGACUGCCACUUAGAAAACAUAAUUUGUAUUGGAUUCCACUCUACUUUUUACUGGGAUGGGAAAGUAUUCAUUGCACCUGGGAUAAAGCAAUAUUUGUUAAUGUGUAUGUACACAAAAGUUCAGUUUCAGACUGAGUGUGAAUGAGAUGUCUGCUGAAUGAGAAAAAAUUGAAAAAAAAAAAAAGGAAAAUCUUAAAAUGUUAAAAUAUUUAUCUG